RNAcentral lists this ribosomal RNA (469 nucleotides) under uncultured bacterium. Its description in RNAcentral is "bacterial SSU rRNA". It matches the Rfam family "Bacterial small subunit ribosomal RNA", at positions 29 to 507 of the family's 1533-position model. The record is from RNAcentral.
AGUGAACGCUGGCGGCGUGCUUAACACAUGCAAGUCGAACGAGAACGGAUUAUAGCUUGCUAUAAUUGUCAGCUAAGUGGCGCACGGGUGAGUAAUGUAUAGAUAACCUGCCCUCUAGAAAGGAAUAACAGAUGGAAACGUCUGCUAAUGCCCUAUAUGCCUUUAAUACAUAAGUAUGCAAGGGAAACGCUUUAGUGCUAGAGGAUGGGUCUGUAUGGUAUCAGCUUGUUGGUGAGGUAAUGGCUCACCAAGGCAAUGACGCCUAACUGGUUUGAGAGGAUGAUCAGUCACACUGGAACUGAGACACGGUCCAGACUCCUACGGGAGGCAGCAGUGGGGAAUAUUGCACAAUGGACGAAAGUCUGAUGCAGCAACGCCGCGUGGAGGAUGACACAUUUCGGUGCGUAAACUCCUUUUAUAUAGGAAGAUAAUGACGGUACUAUAUGAAUAAGCACCGGCUAACUCCGUG